This 77-nucleotide transfer RNA is filed under the name Enterococcus faecium PC4.1. RNAcentral's name for it is "tRNA-Pro". It matches the Rfam family "tRNA". From Rfam's summary of the family: Transfer RNA (tRNA) molecules are approximately 80 nucleotides in length. Their secondary structure includes four short double-helical elements and three loops (D, anti-codon, and T loops). Further hydrogen bonds mediate the characteristic L-shaped molecular structure. tRNAs have two regions of fundamental functional importance: the anti-codon, which is responsible for specific mRNA codon recognition, and the 3' end, to which the tRNAs corresponding amino acid is attached (by aminoacyl-tRNA synthetases). tRNAs cope with the degeneracy of the genetic code in two manners: having more than one tRNA (with a specific anti-codon) for a particular amino acid; and 'wobble' base-pairing, i.e. permitting non-standard base-pairing at the 3rd anti-codon position. Lineage: Bacteria; Bacillati; Bacillota; Bacilli; Lactobacillales; Enterococcaceae. The record is from RNAcentral.
CGGGAAGUAGCUCAGCUUGGUAGAGCACUUGGUUUGGGACCAAGGGGUCGCAGGUUCGAAUCCUGUCUUCCCGAUUU